RNAcentral lists this ribosomal RNA (639 nucleotides) under uncultured eukaryote. RNAcentral's name for it is "bacterial SSU rRNA". It matches the Rfam family "Bacterial small subunit ribosomal RNA", at positions 291 to 917 of the family's 1533-position model. The record is from RNAcentral.
UCUAAGAGGAUUGAUCAACCACACUGGGACUGAGACACGGCCCAGACCUCUACGGAGGCCAGCAGUGAGGAAGGUUCCGCAAUGGGCAGCAAGCCGGACGGAGACAAUGCCGCGUGGAAGAUGAAGGCUCUCUGGGCUCGUAUACUCCUUUUCUUAGCGAAGUUAUAUAGAACGGUAGCUAAGGAAUAAGCAUCGGCUAAUUCCGUGCCAGCAGCCGCGGUAAUACGGAAGAUAGCGAGCGUUAUUCAGUAAUUAUUGGGCGUAAAGCGUCUGUAGGUGGCUUAUUUAAGUCUACUGUUAAAUAUCAAGGCUUAUACCUUGAAUAAAGCGGUCUGAAACUAAAAAGCUUGAGUUUAGUAGAGGUAAAGGGAAUUCUCGGUGUAGUGGUGAAAUGCGUAGAUAUCGGGAAGAACAUCCUGCGGCGAAUAGCGCUUUACUGGGCUAGAAACUGACACCUGAGAGACGAAAGUCUAGGGGAGCGAACUAGGACUUAGUAUACCCCUAGUAGUCCUAGCCUGUAAACCGAUGGAUACCUAAGUGUUGGACAACAUAAAAGUUCAGUGCUGUAGCUAACGCGUUAAGUAGUCCCGCUCUGGGAAGUAUGCUCGCCAAGAGUAAAACUCAAAGGGUAUUGAUCGG